Brienomyrus brachyistius is the source of this 1391-nucleotide long non-coding RNA. RefSeq lists it as uncharacterized. Lineage: Eukaryota; Metazoa; Chordata; Actinopteri; Osteoglossiformes; Mormyridae. The transcript is spliced from 2 exons. The record is from RefSeq and is a predicted model, not a curated record.
UUUGGCCUACACUUCCAUAGAUUUUUUGGAUAAUUUGUGUGAUCCAUGAAUUAUGUAUUCCUUUGGAAGUUCCUCCAACUUUGUUGAUUGUUCGGAUAAACCAAAUUAUGGCGUUACUUUGUUAGAAAGCUGCUCCCAGUUCUCAAAGAAACCUUAUCGUCGACAUGCAAAAUGGGAAGCUCAUUGAAGGAGACACAAUAGUACAACGCGUUUUAGAACAAAUUUGCAGGAUGUUUGCAAACAUAAUAUUUUAAAACGUUAAUUAUAAAAGUACCCAACUAUAGUACAUUUAUCAAUAGGCGUAACCCAAUCGUGAGUUUUGAAGUGCAUUUGAAGCAACAGUACUUUAAGGGAAAUAGUCUAUAAUUAAUUUGCCAAUGCAUUGAAUUAAACAACAAUUAUGUAAUACUGUAAUAUUCCAAGGAGAAGUGGACAACUGGACGUUUUGAUCUGAAUAGUCUUUAUUAAUUUAUCACGUUAUUUUAUUCUCACAUCUCACGGUAAUAUUUUUGGCGAACGUCGAGCCUCACGCCAAGGUGCAAACCGCGUUAUUUGUAUUCAAAUACCCCAGUGAAGGGUGCGCGGAGUUGGUCUCCGCAGUAUCUGUCAUCGAUCAGAACAGUUUGGUGCCAGUGAGAGUGUCAUAUCAGAUAAUGCAAGCUUCACACAUUCAACGAUCCCCGUGUCAGAACUGUGCUGGGAUCUUUCGUCUAAAUUUACAAGCAUGAAAUUACUAUCAAACCCCCAAACCGCCAAGCGGAGCGUCGGAUGCACAGUCCAGCUCCGUCGCGGAAUUUACAGAGCGACCUAGUGAGCUUGGAGGCGCACAAGCGAUGAUUAUAUACACCAUGGAGGCUUCAGUAAAAGCUCGAACGGCCCAAACACGAUCACAUCUUGACUGAUUCCCCUCCACUCGUGGGCUCCUGUUGAGACCAGCUGACAUUGCGGUUCAGAAGUCAAGCGGAGGUCACUUUUUCACAGCCCUGGCAGAAAUUUCCGACAGAACCUGUUGAAAAACACACGUCCGAAGCUGCAGCGAAGACCGCUGAUGAAUCGCACCGCGAACCCAUUUCACAUAGAGAUGGAUAAUUUCUGCUCGAUGAAAGAUGCUCCGUGAUAACUUCGCAUUAAUAACUGUACACGAUCAAUACAAUAUAUCGAAUAUCAAAGAGCCUACUCUCCGAGGCCUUUGUAGACCUUUAGUUUUAUUUGCUAAAUGUCUGGUUCAUGUGCACACUGACUGCUGCGGCAAGACGACGUAUUUAUUUUAACAAUUUAAGAAGUUAAAGUGAUUGUUUAAUAAUAAACAGAAGUAGAUUGCUUAUUGUUGCCCAUUUGUAAUGCCAUAAUAAAAUGGUAUCUUGGAAUAAAAUCCCAGCUAAGUUAAAAUA